GACGAACGCUGGCGGCGUGCCUAAUACAUGCAAGUCGAACGCUCUCGACCUUCGGGUCACAUGAGAGAGUGGCGAACGGGUGCGUAACACGUGAGAAACCUGCCCCAAAGACGGGAAUAACUCGAGGAAACUCGUGCUAAUACCCGAUGCCCUCAUCAGGCCGCAUGGCCAGAUGAGGAAAGGCUCCGGCGCUUUGGGAGGGUCUCGCGGCCUAUCAGCUUGUUGGUGAGGUAACGGCUCACCAAGGCAUCGACGGGUAGCUGGUCUGAGAGGACGAUCAGCCACACUGGGACUGAGACACGGCCCAGACUCCUACGGGAGGCAGCAGUAGGGAAUCUUGCGCAAUGGGCGAAAGCCUGACGCAGCAACGCCGCGUGGGGGAUGAAGGCCUUCGGGUCGUAAACCCUUUUCAG
Molecule: ribosomal RNA, 413 nt
Filed under: uncultured bacterium
Lineage: Bacteria
Description: bacterial SSU rRNA
Rfam family: Bacterial small subunit ribosomal RNA
Source: RNAcentral